This 180-nucleotide ribosomal RNA is filed under the name uncultured bacterium. RNAcentral describes it as "partial 16S ribosomal RNA". It matches the Rfam family "Bacterial small subunit ribosomal RNA", at positions 334 to 531 of the family's 1533-position model. The record is from RNAcentral.
CCUUCCUACGGGAGGCAGCAGUGGGGAAUAUUGGACAAUGGGGGCAACCCUGAUCCAGCCAUGCCGCGUGAGUGAAGAAGGCCCUAGGGUUGUAAAGCUCUUUCGCCGGAGAAGAUAAUGACGGUAUCCGGAGAAGAAGCCCCGGCUAACUUCGUGCCAGCAGCCGCGGUAAUAGUAAUA